CCCCGCGUAGCUCAACGGCAGAGCGAUCGGCUGUAGCCCGAUAGGCUGCCGGUUCAAAUCCGGCCGCGGGGA
This 72-nucleotide transfer RNA is filed under the name Candidatus Woesearchaeota archaeon. Its description in RNAcentral is "tRNA-Tyr". It matches the Rfam family "tRNA". From Rfam's summary of the family: Transfer RNA (tRNA) molecules are approximately 80 nucleotides in length. The record is from RNAcentral. Lineage: Archaea; Nanobdellati; Candidatus Woesearchaeota.